UGGGGAAUUUUGGACAAUGGGGGAAACCCUGAUCCAGCCAUCCCGCGUGUGCGAUGAAGGCCUUCGGGUUGUAAAGCACUUUUGGCAGGAAAGAAACGUCAUGGGUUAAUACCCCGUGAAACUGACGGUACCUGCAGAAUAAGCACCGGCUAACUACGUGCCAGCAGCCGCGGUAAUACGUAGGGUGCAAGCGUUAAUCGGAAUUACUGGGCGUAAAGCGUGCGCAGGCGGUUCGGAAAGAAAGAUGUGAAAUCCCAGAGCUCAACUUUGGAACUGCAUUUGUAACUACCGGGCUAGAGUGUGUCAGAGGGGGAUGGAAUUCCGCGUGUAGCAGUGAAAUGCGUAGAUAUGCGGAGGAACACCGAUGGCGAAGGCAGCCUCCUGGGAUAACACUGACGCUCAUGCACGAAAGCGUGGGGAGCAAACAGG
RNAcentral lists this ribosomal RNA (429 nucleotides) under Acidobacteriota bacterium. RNAcentral describes it as "Acidobacteria bacterium partial 16S ribosomal RNA". It matches the Rfam family "Bacterial small subunit ribosomal RNA", at positions 355 to 776 of the family's 1533-position model. The record is from RNAcentral. Lineage: Bacteria; Pseudomonadati; Acidobacteriota.